UACGUAGGGUGCAAGCGUUGUCCGGAAUUAUUGGGCGUAAAGAGCUCGUAGGCGGUCUGUCGCGUCUGCCGUGAAAGUCCGGGGCUCAACUCCGGAUCUGCGGUGGGUACGGGCAGACUAGAGUGAUGUAGGGGAGACUGGAAUUCCUGGUGUAGCGGUGAAAUGCGCAGAUAUCAGGAGGAACACCGGUGGCGAAGGCGGUCUGCUGGGCCAAGACUGACGCUGAGGCGCGACAGCGUGGGGAGCAAACAGG
Molecule: ribosomal RNA, 253 nt
Filed under: uncultured bacterium
Lineage: Bacteria
Description: partial 16S ribosomal RNA
Rfam family: Bacterial small subunit ribosomal RNA
Source: RNAcentral